Molecule: ribosomal RNA, 581 nt
Filed under: uncultured bacterium
Lineage: Bacteria
Description: bacterial SSU rRNA
Rfam family: Bacterial small subunit ribosomal RNA
Source: RNAcentral
AGAGUUUGAUCAUGGCUCAGAGUGAACGCUGGCGGUAGGCCUAACACAUGCAAGUCGAACGGCAGCACAGGAGAGCUUGCUCUCUGGGUGGCGAGUGGCGGACGGGUGAGGAAUACAUCGGAAUCUACUUUUUCGUGGGGGAUAACGUAGGGAAACUUACGCUAAUACCGCAUACGACCUACGGGUGAAAGCAGGGGAUCUUCGGACCUUGCGCGAUUGAAUGAGCCGAUGUCGGAUUAGCUAGUUGGCGGGGUAAAGGCCCACCAAGGCGACGAUCCGUAGCUGGUCUGAGAGGAUGAUCAGCCACACUGGAACUGAGACACGGUCCAGACUCCUACGGGAGGCAGCAGUGGGGAAUAUUGGACAAUGGGCGCAAGCCUGAUCCAGCCAUACCGCGUGGGUGAAGAAGGCCUUCGGGUUGUAAAGCCCUUUUGUUGGGAAAGAAAUCCAGCUGGUUAAUACCCGGUUGGGAUGACGGUACCCAAAGAAUAAGCACCGGCUAACUUCGUGCCAGCAGCCGCGGUAAUACGAAGGGUGCAAGCGUUACUCGGAAUUACUGGGCGUAAAGCGUGCGUAGGUGG